GUACCUUUCUCGGCCUUUCGGCUAAGAUCUAGUCUAAUAUUAAAUUAAUAUUUCAUAUCUGAUUAUGGGCCAUCGGCGGCCCACAUGAUAUUAAAUUAAUUUUUCAUGGGGGAUGGCCCACCAAGGUAGCUUGCUAUUAUGUGGGCCUUCGAGCGUUGCUACGCAAUACUGUAUGGGCCUGGCGCACCCCUC
Molecule: small nuclear RNA, 192 nt
Organism: Cucurbita maxima (winter squash)
Lineage: Eukaryota; Viridiplantae; Streptophyta; Magnoliopsida; Cucurbitales; Cucurbitaceae
Product: U2 spliceosomal RNA
Exons: 1
Source: RefSeq, a predicted model, not a curated record